CUCUGAGACUAUCACAGUGCAGGUGCAUUUAUACGGAGACUUGAUUACACACAGGUGGAUUGUAUUUAUCAUCAUUAGUCAUUUAGGUCAACAUUGGAUCAUUCAGAGAUCCUCACUGAACUUCUGGAGAGAGUUUGCUGCACUGAAAGUAAAGGGGCUGAAUAAUUUUGCACGCCCAAUUUUUCAGUUUUUGAUUGGUAAAAAAGUUUGAAAUUUCCAAUAAAUGUCCUUCCACUUCAUGAUUGUGUCCCACUUGUUGUUGAUUCUUCACAAAAAAAUACAGUUUUAUAUCUUUAUGUUUGAAGCCUGAAAUGUGGCAAAAGGUCGCAAAGUUCAAGGGGGGCGAAUACUUUCUUAAGGCACUUUAUGUGUCCUUAGAAAGAAUGACAACCUGUGCAUCAUAUUUUACCACCCAUAUGGCUAAAUACAUAAUUACAAGCAAAUCAAUUCAUUUGUUCAAUCUGACUCAGAAGCCAUAACUGGUCUUUCAUUAUAUUAAAAACAAUAGUAAAGUCUUUAUAUGACAUAAAAUGAUUGACAAAAUACAUUAAAAACCAGUUCAAAAUAAUAGGUGAAGACAUUACAGUAGUAGAGCUGUAUGAGACCCCAGUAGUAGAGCUGUAUGAGACCCCAGUAGUAGAGCUGUAUGAGACCCAAGUAGUAGAGCUAGCUGAGACCCCAGUCAGUACCCAGUAGUAGAGCUAUCUGAGACCCCAGUCAGUACCCAGUAGUAGAGCUAUCUGAGACCCCUGUCAGUACCCUGUAGUAGAGCUGUAUGAGACCCCAGUCAGUACCCAGUAGUAGAGCUAUCUGAGACCCCAGUCACUGAGCUAGCUGAGACCCCAGUUAGUACCCAGUAGUAGAGCUAUCUGAGACCCCAGUCAGUACCCAGUAGUAGAGCUGUAUGAGACCUCAGUCAGUACCCAGUAGUAGAGCUAGCUGAGACCCCAGUCAGUACCCAGUAGUAGAGCUAUCUGAGACCCCAGUCAGUACCCAGUAGUAGAGCUGUAUGAGACCUCAGUCAGUACCCAGUAGUAGAGCUGUAUGAGACCCCAGUCAGUACCCAGUAGUAGAGCUAUCUGAGACCCCAGUCAGUACCCAGUAGUAGAGCUAUCUGAGACCCCAGUCAGUACCCAGUAGUAGACCCCAGCCAGUAGAGAGUCAGUUGUUGACAGUUGGACACUUUGACAAGCUAUCAAGUUUAGACCACAGAAGAUUUGUAGAAGCAUUGACAUUGUCCAUGUUGUCGUGUUCCCUUGAUGUGCAGCUAAAUGUGGUCAUUGUAAUUAGAUGUUUGCGACAGGGGUAGACCUAGUGGUAGCCUUCUCCCUGGGGCAUUGGUUUACACCACGGUUGGUGGUUUAGGGCUAGUAAAACAUCUUCACACGCCCCCUGCGGAAGGCUAUGCCAUAUGCUACUGUAAAAAUAGGCCGCCAAUUGAAGUUUCUGUUCUGUCGUUCUUCCUGGCUGAAGUAAUGUCAGUGUAGGUCUGGUAUUUCCCAUUUUUUUAUGGCACAUAAUCAUUUGAUCAGUUCUCAUGUAUACCAUUUUAAUUUCAUUUGUAAAGGGCAAGAAGACAAAUGUUACUUGUUUUUUGUGUGAAUUUAUUCCUGUUCGGUUAGGGUUGUUGUUUGCUGUCCGUACGGGAGAGACCAGCUCGUGGACAUCUGCUCAUCAGAAUAACACAGGGUCAGGAGAUGGAACAGUCCCGUAAUGACAACGGAGCAUGCACACUUUCAAAGGUUAUCCAUUAGAAAUACAAUUUGUUCAGCUGAUAUGAAUAUUCAAUUUUAUUUGUCUGCGGC
Long non-coding RNA from Oncorhynchus tshawytscha (Chinook salmon), 1805 nucleotides. The record is from Ensembl. Lineage: Eukaryota; Metazoa; Chordata; Actinopteri; Salmoniformes; Salmonidae.